RNAcentral lists this ribosomal RNA (487 nucleotides) under uncultured bacterium. RNAcentral describes it as "bacterial SSU rRNA". It matches the Rfam family "Bacterial small subunit ribosomal RNA", at positions 28 to 507 of the family's 1533-position model. The record is from RNAcentral.
GACAAACGCUGGCGGCGUGCCUAACACAUGCAAGUCUGACGGGAAAGUCUCCUUCGGGAGACGAGUACAGUGGCGGACGGGUGAGUAACGCGUGGGAAUCUACCCGGUAGUGGGGGAUAACCCUUCGAAAGGGGGGCUAAUACCGCAUAAGUCCUACGGGGUAAAGAUGGCCUCUUUACAAUGCUAUCGCUUCCGGAUGAGCCCGCGUCCUAUUAGCUAGUUGGUGAGGUAAUGGCUUACCAAGGCCACGAUGGGUAGCCGGUCUGAGAGGAUGAACGGCCACACUGGGACUGAGAUACGGCCCAGACUCCUACGGGAGGCAGCAGUGGGGAAUCUUGCGCAAUGGGGGAAACCCUGACGCAGCAACGCCGCGUGGAUGAUGAAGGCCUUCGGGUCGUAAAGUCCUGUUCUGGGGGAAGAACUGUAAGAGGGCUAAUACCCCUCUUACUUGACGGUACCCCAGCAGAAAGCUCCGGCCAAUUAUGUG